CGCGACGUAGCUCAACUGGAUAGAGCACCCGCUUGCUAACGAAAUCCUUGGUCGCGCUCGGAGAGUAGUGGCGGGAAGAUGCAGGUUCAAGUCCUGUCGUCGCGCCCA
Molecule: transfer RNA, 108 nt
Filed under: Aminobacter sp. MDW-2
Lineage: Bacteria; Pseudomonadati; Pseudomonadota; Alphaproteobacteria; Hyphomicrobiales; Phyllobacteriaceae
Description: tRNA-Ser
Rfam family: tRNA
About the family: Transfer RNA (tRNA) molecules are approximately 80 nucleotides in length. Their secondary structure includes four short double-helical elements and three loops (D, anti-codon, and T loops).
Source: RNAcentral